CCGAUUUAUCAUUUGGGGGAGACGCUCUCUCCCCCGACCGACACCUCCGUGCACUCUGGGAGAGGCCUCUCGAAAGAGGGUCCCCCUCCCGUUUUACGAACGCCUCGUAGUCUCGCGCGUGUCAGUGAAAUAAAAAUCGAAACA
This 144-nucleotide unclassified non-coding RNA is filed under the name uncultured fungus. RNAcentral's name for it is "sequence contains ITS1, 5.8S rRNA gene". Lineage: Eukaryota; Fungi. The record is from RNAcentral.